CAGUCGCCGCGGGAAUACGAAGGGGGCUAGCGUUGUUCGGAAUGACUGGGCGUAAAGGGCGCGUAGGCGGUUCGUACAGUUGGAUGUGAAAUUCCUGGGCUUAACCUGGGGGCAGCAUUCAAUACGUGCGGGCUUGAGUGUGGAAGAGGGUUGUGGAAUUCCCAGUGUAGAGGUGAAAUUCGUAGAUAUUGGGAAGAACACCGGUGGCGAAGGCGGCAACCUGGUCCAUAACUGACGCUGAGGCGCGAAAGCGUGGGGAGCAAACAGGAUUAGAGACCCCCGUAGUCCCUGUCUCUUAUAC
This 301-nucleotide ribosomal RNA is filed under the name uncultured bacterium. Its description in RNAcentral is "partial 16S ribosomal RNA". It matches the Rfam family "Bacterial small subunit ribosomal RNA", at positions 509 to 807 of the family's 1533-position model. The record is from RNAcentral.